GGCCAUCCCGGCUUACCAACCCGAUGCAAACUGCGAAUACCGGAGAAUGUUAUCACGGGAGACACACGGCGGGUGCUAACGUCCGUCGUGAAGAGGGAAACAACCCAGACCGCCAGCUAAGGUCCCAUCAGAAAUAGAUGGUAUUGAAUGUGUACAAUUAUGGCACGAUGAGCCGAAUAAUUUAGAUCCUGACUGCAUGUUUGUGGCGCUAUCCGCUAGCGUAGCGACAGAAGAUAUUCAUCGUUGUAAAAAAAA
Molecule: ribosomal RNA, 255 nt
Filed under: Salmonella enterica subsp. enterica serovar Kentucky
Lineage: Bacteria; Pseudomonadati; Pseudomonadota; Gammaproteobacteria; Enterobacterales; Enterobacteriaceae
Description: partial 23S ribosomal RNA
Rfam family: Bacterial large subunit ribosomal RNA
Source: RNAcentral